Non-coding RNA from Immersiella caudata, 104 nucleotides. Lineage: Eukaryota; Fungi; Ascomycota; Sordariomycetes; Sordariales; Lasiosphaeriaceae. The record is from the annotation of a GenBank genome assembly.
GGGCGGGUAGCGUAGUGGUUGAACAGCGUGUUCACUAAACGUUUUAUCAGCGCUGCUUUUCCAGCGUUUAGCGAGAGUCCUGGGUUCGAAUCUCAGCCCGCCCG